AGGGAUCCGUAGCAGACCUGACGGGAAUACCGGUUUACGUUGGAGUUACAAAUUUAAGGGAUGUCAUACAGGAGGAAUAAUUAAAUUGCUGUGAUGUUGAACAAAAAUACUAGAAAAGCUGCUAACAAAUUGCCAAAGCAUUAAUAAUGGCAUUUGGAGUUUCUUUUGGAAGUCUUUGAUGGCUUCCUCCGAGUGCAGUUAUUGUCUUGCUCCAACUUAGCUAUUUGCAGCUGGGUCAUACUCGGUGUCCUGGG
Long non-coding RNA from Dromaius novaehollandiae (emu), 254 nucleotides. NCBI's taxonomy places the organism in Eukaryota, Metazoa, Chordata, Aves, Casuariiformes, Dromaiidae. The record is from Ensembl.